Molecule: long non-coding RNA, 1287 nt
Filed under: Monodelphis domestica (gray short-tailed opossum)
Lineage: Eukaryota; Metazoa; Chordata; Mammalia; Didelphimorphia; Didelphidae
Description: lncRNA (ENSMODG00000037289.1)
Source: RNAcentral
CAGGGAAAGAUUUUAAAGCAUAUUCAUUUUUUUAAAAAACCCUUACAUUGGUUCCAAGGCAGAAGAGUGGUAAGGGCUAGGCAAUGGGGGUCAAGUGACUUGCCCAGGGUCACACAGCUAAGCAUAUUCAUUUCUAUUCAUAACCAGGACUUCCAAAAAAGCUUUUAAAAUUGUUCCAUUUAAGAACACAGGAAAGACAAUAGGAAAAGAUGCAUAUUCUGAUCUAGGAAAUAGGCAGCCUGGUGUGUUGCUUGGAGGCCUUGUCCCACCAGCAAGAAACAGACACUUAAACCAACUCGGAAUAUUUACAGAUUCUUAGUUUAUUCCUUCUGGUUUCUGCCACAGAAUUGCGUGUUACAUGCGACGUGGCUGGUGGCAGCUAGGCUUUUUUUUUUUUCCCUCAAGCUUAAAUAAAUCUGGGCGAAGACUUAAUAAACCUUAUUUAGAUUUAAAACAUCCCCCCAGUGACCAGUGAUGUAUCACCUGGUGAAAAUCUUCAAAUAAUUUCCUAUAAUGCCCUCUUUCCCUCUGAUUUCUACACGGUGUAACUAAUUAGCCAAACGAGCUUAGAAACAUUCCAACUGGUUUUGUCAAGUUUGCGCGGAAUUGCCUGACCCCAAAGUUCACAAAUACAAAUGGCUGGAGUUCAUCGUGAAUGCAAGGAAAAUGAAGAGAAAUCUCGGAAGCUCGUUUAAUCAGCAGGGUGCUAAAAGUGUCUGGGAAUCAGUUCCAGGCACUCCAAAUUUCCUGUUCGUAGUGGCACUCCUCUUGGUUCUCCAAGCAGCACCUUUCUAGAUUCUCAAGCUUUGACCUCAAGUCAACAAACACCUGAGCCUGGAUGCUGCCUUGAAAUUCUGCAAGUUGCAUCUCCAAAUCAUCAAUUUGCAUCCAUUGGAAACCAUUUAAUUCCAAACUACUAUAGACUACUACAUCAGGAUACUUCAUUAUUUUCAUGAUCUGUUCUAAGCCUUUAAAUUGAUUAAAUCUAUCACUGAACUGGUCAAGUAAUGAGUCUAAAACACCCUGGUACUUUAUAGGUAAGGGUUCCAUUUCAUUUUGUACAGCUGCACUGGCCUUCUCAAAAUACUUUGCUACUUGAGAAAAAUACUUAUAAGUUUUAGUUUCUACAUCUUGCUUGAAAGUUUUAAGUUUACUUUCAAAAGCUUUUAUGUAUCCAAUCAUAACAUCAAUUCUUUUGCCAAAACCUUGUAACUUUAAGUAACCAAUUACCAGACACUAAUCAUUAAUCAAAUCCAAUAAAAGAAACAGAUUGACAGAUGAAGUUAG